UAAUAAGUGUUUUAUGGCACUUUUUAAAUCCAUAUCCACCUUGUGUGCAAUGUCAGUCGAUCUUCUUCAUGGAGAUCGACCAAACAUCAACCUUUAUCUUUUAACUCUUUGUCUGAAAAAUAUUAUGAAUAAACAAUUCAAAAU
Molecule: unclassified non-coding RNA, 144 nt
Filed under: soil metagenome
Description: partial internal transcribed spacer 1
Source: RNAcentral